This 1132-nucleotide long non-coding RNA is filed under the name Homo sapiens (human). RNAcentral describes it as "HSALNT0081533". The record is from RNAcentral. Lineage: Eukaryota; Metazoa; Chordata; Mammalia; Primates; Hominidae.
UUCUGCCGGCAACUGAAUUGACUGACUCUUCUCCAGAUUCCCAGAUUGUCACCUCACGGGGAGAUCCUUGGGACCUGCAGCCUCAUCCCUUCUGCUUCCUUCUGACCUAGGAGUCACCUCACGUGUUGGACUGUGGCUGAACUUCAGUGCCCAGUCCUCAGCAGCGGCAGAUCUCAGCUCCUGCAACAUUUGUUCCAAGAUACAAGACACUGUGUGCAGAUAAUUACGUAGCUUUUGAAAUUCUAGCAAAAGCUAAAUUCUUCAGUAAGGGAAAAAUAGUUACAGAGUGCUUAUAGGCAGGUGUAGGAAUUUUAUGUACAAAUACAAAAUAUACUUUUUCUAAAUAUUUCCAAGUCCUUUUGGCCCUGGCUUAAAAAAAAUGAUUUAACAUUUCUUAUUAAAUAUGCAAUUUGGUUCAAACUAAGAAUAUGUGUAGCCUUGAACAAGACAUGCAGCAUCUUUAGGCCUCUGUGAAAAUGGCGAAGUUGGGUGACAAGACCACUCAGCAUCCCACAUGUCUAUUGCAUGUCAGUUUUCUACUAACUAUGGACUAUGCUCACAAGAAAAGUGGUGGAGAAAGAGAAAGUACACCCAAGAUGCUUCUUUUCAGCUCUUCUUUCCUUCCUUUUUAUAAAGCAUAUUAUUAUUAUUAUUGUUAUUUAGAGACAGGGUCUCACUCUUUCACCCAGGCUGGAGUGUAGUGGCAUAAUCAUGGUUCACUGCAUCCUCCAACUCCUGAGCUCAAGCAAUUCUCAGGUCUCAGCCCCUCAAGUAGCUGGGACUACAGGUGCACACCACCAUGCCUUGCUUCUUCUUCUUCUUCUUAUUUUUUUUUAUAGAGAGGGAUUUUCACUUUGUUGCCCAGGCUGGUAUUGAACUCCUUGCUUCAAGUUAUACUUCCGCCUUGAUUCCCAAAGUGCUGGGAUUAUAGGCAUGGGCCAACUGCACCCACCAAAUGUUAUUUUUAGUCCAAGGUAGUACGAUUUCUCUCCUUCCUUCCAUCUUUUCCUCCUUAUUUUGUCUUGAACCCAUCUACUUAAUAAAAAUAAAGACACGUUUCUAGGCCUUACAAAGCCUCCCUUCUUUACCAGAAAAUUUAAAUACUUAGAAAAAGUAAAAACCACAAAGACCA